GACGAACGCUGGCGGCGUGCUUAACACAUGCAAGUCGAGCGGUAAGGCCCUUUCGGGGGUACACGAGCGGCGAACGGGUGAGUAACACGUGGGUGACCUGCCUUUAGCUCUGGGAUAAGCCUGGGAAACUGGGUCUAAUACCGGAUAUGACUCCGCGGUGCAUGCUGUGGGGUGGAAAGCCUUGUGCGGCUGGAGAUGGGCCCGCGGCCUAUCAGCUUGUUGGUGGGGUGANGGCCUACCAAGGCGACGACGGGUAGCCGGCCUGAGAGGGCGACCGGCCACACUGGGACUGAGACACGGCCCAGACUCCUACGGGAGGCAGCAGUGGGGAAUCUUGCGCAAUGGGCGAAAGCCUGACGCAGCGACGCCGCGUGAGGGA
RNAcentral lists this ribosomal RNA (379 nucleotides) under uncultured bacterium. RNAcentral's name for it is "bacterial SSU rRNA". It matches the Rfam family "Bacterial small subunit ribosomal RNA", at positions 28 to 408 of the family's 1533-position model. The record is from RNAcentral.